This is a long non-coding RNA of Clupea harengus (Atlantic herring), 1495 nucleotides long. Lineage: Eukaryota; Metazoa; Chordata; Actinopteri; Clupeiformes; Clupeidae. The record is from Ensembl.
CUGAACUCUAUGGUCUAGUCAUGCUCUGACCUGAUCUCUAUGGUCUAGUCAUGCUCUGAACUGAUCUCUAUGGUCUAGUCAUGCUCUGAACUGAACUCUGUGAAGACUGCUCCCUGUGGUUUAGCAUGAUGUUGGACUGAUCCAAAUAGAAUACUGUUCCCUGCAGAGGUCUGGGAAGGAACGGAUCCUUCCGGAAUGAUUACAGUGGACUCCAGUGACUGAUCACAACAGUUGAUCACUUGUGUAAGACUGAGUGCUCUGUGUUGCUCAUGUACCUACUGCUCUGUGUGUGUAGUGCCUCAUGCAUACCUAGACAGCUUUGUGUGUGUGUGUGUGCGUGCGUGCGUGCGUGCGUGCGUGCGUGCGUGCGUGCGUGUGUGUGGAUGUCUCAUGUGCCUGUCAUGGCUGCUGUGUGUGAGAGAUACUCAGUCUGUGGUACAUCUGCAGAGGACUGAAAGAAUGUGUUUUUCGCUGGUGACAGUGUUCACCUGUAACCGCAGAGGUUUGGGUGGUCUGUAAUGAGGCACUAGUAAAGGUGGACAUUACGAUGCUGAUUUGUAUUGUGUUAAAGGUUCAAUAUGUAGUUUUUGAUGUCAAAAAACAGUGUUUGUAGUCAAGUGACAAGUGUUUGUUGCCUUAAAACAAUGAUUUUAAUACAGUGUUUCUUGUCUUGUAUUGCUGUCUGUUUCAAGCCCCUGUACUGCAAUUAUUAUUUAUUUUUAUUUAAUUUUUUCCUGUCCUGUAAAAUAGUGAAUGAGAAACACCUGAGAUUAAAGAUGUGGUAAAAUGCACAGGAACAACGUGAGCUUCAAACUGUUAUCUUUAAGGGAGGUUCAAGGACAUGUUUACUUUUAAGACUACAUAUCCCCCACCCCACCCCCCCACCCCUACUCGUUUAAAGUUGCAAUCAGUAACUUCUGUAAACAGAGGUGUUUUCUUAUGACUACUGAUGAAAGAACUGCAAACCAUUCCAUUUUUCAGUGUGUCUUUGGAGUGUGUUGUAACUGUUCUCAUAGAGGCCAACACCUUAACAAAAGAAUGCAGAAUUUUAAUGAUACUAAUCUUCUCAGGAGUCUGGUGUAUUGGACAGCACUCCUUGGUUAUUUAUAUUGUGUGAUUCCUUGAGCGCUUUGGUGAUUGUCCAGGCCUUAGAGCUGCCAGACUGUCACAGACGACCUCCGUGACCUCCGUGACCUCCGUGAGGGCAAGCACAUUGCCAUGGAAGGGAACUGGAUGAGGGGAGGAGAUGAUGGUGGUGAUUAAUGGUCACAUUCAGAGCAUAAUUAAGCUAAUUAUUACUGUGAAACGCCACCUAAUGGCUCCCAAGGCUUGGAUUUGAUCACAUAUACUCUAUGGCAGAAUGGUUUUCUUAAGAGUAGAUAGGGUUAUGUGUCUGAGAGAAAAGCCAUGAUAUCUCUGUAAAAUACUGAAAUACUUCACCAGGUGCCUUGUAAACCUGUUAAGUAAAACAUUUCAAAUAAAAACCUACAAGAGG